UACGGAGGGGGCUAGCGUUAUUCGGAAUUAUUGGGCGUAAAGGGCGCGUAGGCGGCCCGGUAAGUCAAAGGUGAAAUCCCUCAGCUUAACUGGGGAACUGCGUCUGAGACUGGAUGGCUUGAGUGCAGGAGAGGAACGCGGAAUUCCAGGUGUAGCGGUGAAAUGCGUAGAUAUCUGGAGGAACACCGGUGGCGAAGGCGGCGUUCUGGACUGCAACUGACACUGAGGAACGAAAGCCAGGGGAGCAAACGGG
RNAcentral lists this ribosomal RNA (253 nucleotides) under uncultured bacterium. RNAcentral's name for it is "partial 16S ribosomal RNA". It matches the Rfam family "Bacterial small subunit ribosomal RNA", at positions 524 to 776 of the family's 1533-position model. The record is from RNAcentral.